This 358-nucleotide unclassified non-coding RNA is filed under the name fungal sp. RNAcentral describes it as "partial internal transcribed spacer region". The stretch from base 1 to 46 matches the Rfam family "Eukaryotic small subunit ribosomal RNA", at positions 1786 to 1831 of the family's 1831-position model. The record is from RNAcentral. Lineage: Eukaryota; Fungi.
AAGUCGUAACAAGGUUUCCGUAGGUGAACCUGCGGAAGGAUCAUUAUCACGUAUCCAAACGUAUAAACCCAAUGUGCACCUCAAUCAUCCUCCUACGGAUACAAGAAGUGGCAGAGAAGUUGAUAUUUCGAUUCAUGGUCUUUCGAAAUUCUCUGUCUAGUUUUUCUAGCUUUCGGGCUUUUGAACUGCCUUCUAAUCCGGGAGUCGUAUCAAACCAUGCUUGUUUUUACUAUAACAACUUGUACCUUUCUGAACUAACUUUGGUUUUCUAACUCGGAAUCUCUCCGGAGACUCUUUGGUAGGAACCUUGAUUUAUACAAACUCUGAACUACUCUUAACAACGGAUAUCUUGGUUCUC